UACAGAGGGUGCGAGCGUUAAUCGGAAUUACUGGGCGUAAAGCGUGCGUAGGCGGCUUGUCAAGUAGGGUGUGAAAGCCCCCGGCUCAACCGGGGAAUUGCGCCCUAAACUGGCGAGCUGGAGUGAGAUAGGGGUGUGUGGAACUUCCGGUGGAGCGGUGAAAUGUGUUGAUAUCGGAAGGAACGCCGGUGGCGAAAGCGACACACUGGAUCUUGUCUGACGCUGAGGCACGAAAGCCAGGGGAGCGAACGGG
Molecule: ribosomal RNA, 253 nt
Filed under: uncultured prokaryote
Description: partial 16S ribosomal RNA
Rfam family: Bacterial small subunit ribosomal RNA
Source: RNAcentral